AGUCAAUCAUCUGCCCUGUCGCGACAUAAUGCGAGAAGGUCCUUGUGCAGUCGACAUGGUUGCAGUCGAAGCAACGAUCCAAUAGUAAGAGACCGAGAUCGAGAGAGGGGGAGAAAGUGGGAUAGCGUUGGGAAGCGUUGGAAAAUCCGCGAGAGAGGGGGAGAAAGUGGGAUUUUCUCGUGCUGUUCUAUCUCAGAGUUCGUUGCUGCGUUGUCACCUUUAUGGAGGUGGUUUGUGUCGCGAGGAGCUCUCGCAAUCGCACUCCUGGCGCAUGCUGACAAGCUGCAUUGGAGUUGCUGCCCCAGCGUGCAUUUUAAGAUAAAAGUGGGCGUGCGCGGUGGAGCUUGAAGGGGAAGUUCACAGCUCCGGGCUUUAAUUUGGACUGCUGUUCUGUUUCGCGGUCGCACAUGGUCGAGAUCAAUUCACUGCGUCGAGGGCAGUAUGGAGAAGGGUAGCACUUUACCGGUUGGCAUCACUCAACUCCGAGGAGUUAUUGCAAUUUUGCAGUGGUGGAGUUUCAACGUACUGGUCAUCAUCAUGAACAAGUGGAUUUUCCAGAAACUCGACUUCAAAUUUCCGCUGACGGUAUCGACUGUGCACUUUAUCUGUUCGACAAUCGGCGCCCAUAUAGCAAUUAAGGUGCUGAAUGUGAAGCCACUCAUUGAAGUCGACCCUCAGGAUCGUUUGAGGCGAAUUCUACCGAUGUCAUUCGUCUUUUGUGUUAACAUCGUGCUUGGAAACGUCAGCCUUCGUUACAUACCUGUUUCCUUUAUGCAAACCAUCAAGUCCUUCACACCUGCCACCACAGUGGCGCUGCAGUGGCUAGUUUGGAAAAAAUCAUUUGAUCGACGUGUUUGGCUUUCAUUGAUACCCAUUGUUGGUGGAAUUGUGCUAACUUCCGUCACCGAGCUCAGCUUCAAUAUGGCUGGUUUCCUAGCAGCUUUUUUUGGCUGCGUCGUGACUUCGACAAAGACCAUCUUGGCAGAAUCCUUGCUUCAUGGUUACAAUUUUGAUAGCAUUAAUACCGUGUACUAUAUGGCGCCAUAUGCAACCAUGAUUUUAGCCCUUCCAGCCCUUUUGUUGGAGGGUUUGGGCGUCGUGUCAUGGAUGGAUGCUCAAGAAUCACUGCUCGCGCCCCUUCUCAUCAUAUUCCUCUCUGGAGUGUCAGCUUUUUGUCUCAAUUUCUCAAUAUUUUACGUCAUUCACGCAACAACGGCUGUGACAUUUAACGUGGCAGGAAACAUGAAAGUUGCUGUAGCGAUCGUCAUCUCAUGGCUCAUUUUCAAAAACCCAAUCUCUUUCAUGAAUGCGAUUGGUUGCACCAUUACCCUCUUAGGCUGUACUUUCUACGGCUACGUGCGUCAUCGGCUAUCGCAACAGGCAUCAGUGAAGGCAGCCAGUACUGAACUGGAGAGCGUGCAACUUCUCUCUGUGGUGAAUGAGGAGAGACCCAGCCGGCUGAUUUGAUGUUCCUGUAACUAGUUGGUUCUGUCUUGCUUUUUCUUUUCGUAUAUCUCGCUCUUCAGCCAUUUUAUUACGUCAAGUAAGGGGACUUCACGCUCCAGCACACUUCUCACUCUAGUGUGGGUUGUAAAGUCGUCUAGCAAGUUAUACAUGCGAUUAUUGUAAUAAUACCUCGAACUGGAAUAGAGUGAACCUUCUUUCUUUGGUGCUUGGACAUUAUAUUUUUCCUUUUAUGGACAGCAAUCACGGCUAAAGAAGCUAUUGGAAGCGAGAUAGUGGACAUCCUUAGAAGCCAUCAUCUCAAUAGUGACCCUGCACAGCGGUUCAUAGAAGAUAAUCGCACCAUCCGAAGAAAGUGAAAGCAGCAGGUGACGAUAUACAGAGCUCCAGAGAUGCUAUUUCAAGACUCGUUUUGUUGCUGAUGAUGAAAUUUCACCAGGUUCUCACUGAAAUCGACCCACAUCUUGCUGGCCUUAGAUGUUUUCCGCGUCCGUUAGUUCGAGUUGAGUGAGAUGCCUUAAUAAAAGAUGUAAACAUUUUGGCAAACAUUAACGACUAAUACACAGGUACAUUCUCCGGGCGGUUUAAUAGGA
Non-coding RNA from Physcomitrium patens, 2057 nucleotides. The record is from RefSeq and is a predicted model, not a curated record. NCBI's taxonomy places the organism in Eukaryota, Viridiplantae, Streptophyta, Bryopsida, Funariales, Funariaceae.